Molecule: ribosomal RNA, 1099 nt
Filed under: Lactobacillus sp.
Lineage: Bacteria; Bacillati; Bacillota; Bacilli; Lactobacillales; Lactobacillaceae
Description: bacterial SSU rRNA
Rfam family: Bacterial small subunit ribosomal RNA
Source: RNAcentral
GUUCGAUUGAGCAACGCGUGAGUAAGAGGCUUCGGUGGUUAACUCGUUGGAGAAAGAAGUGUCCGCAGAGUUAUGUUGUCGCGUGAACGUAUCACAGAAAGGCCCACGCCUAAUUAUGUGGCCAGCAGCCGGCGGUAAAUAACGUAGGUGGCAAGCCGUUAUUCCGGAUUUAUGUGGGCGUAAAGCGAUGCGUCAGGCGGUUUUUUAAGUCUGAUGUGAAAGCCCGUCGGCUUAACCGAGGAAGCGCAUCGGAAACUGGGAAACUUGAGUGCAGAAGAGGACAGUGGAACUCCAUGUGUAGCGGUGAAAUGCGUAGAUAUAUGGAAGAACACCAGUGGCGAAGGCGGCUGUCUGGUCUGUAACUGACGCUGAGGCUCGAAAGCAUGGGUAGCGAACAGGAUUAGAUACCCUGGUAGUCCAUGCCGUAAACGAUGAAUGCUAGGUGUUGGAGGGUUUCCGCCCUUCAGUGCCGCAGCUAACGCAUUAAGCAUUCCGCCUGGGGAGUACGACCGCAAGGUUGAAACUCAAAGGAAUUGACGGGGGCCCGCACAAGCGGUGGAGCAUGUGGUUUAAUUCGAAGCAACGCGAAGAACCUUACCAGGUCUUGACAUCUUUUGAUCACCUGAGAGAUCAGGUUUCCCCUUCGGGGGCAAAAUGACAGGUGGUGCAUGGUUGUCGUCAGCUCGUGUCGUGAGAUGUUGGGUUAAGUCCCGCAACGAGCGCAACCCUUAUGACUAGUUGCCAGCAUUUAGUUGGGCACUCUAGUAAGACUGCCGGUGACAAACCGGAGGAAGGUGGGGAUGACGUCAAAUCAUCAUGCCCCUUAUGACCUGGGCUACACACGUGCUACAAUGGAUGGUACAACGAGUUGCGAGACCGCGAGGUCAAGCUAAUCUCUUAAAGCCAUUCUCAGUUCGGACUGUAGGCUGCAACUCGCCUACACGAAGUCGGAAUCGCUAGUAAUCGCGGAUCAGCACGCCGCGGUGAAUACGUUCCCGGGCCUUGUACACACCGCCCGUCACACCAUGAGAGUUUGUAACACCCGAAGCCGGCGGCGAGACCCAUCUAUGGCUCAGGACAUGACUAUUGGGGGCCCCUC